CACCAGCGCCACGAGUGGGGACCAGUGUUAUUGGGCCUAAAGCGUCCGUAGCCGGAUUGGUAAAUCUUCUGUGAAAUUGUUAGGCUUAACCUAACAGCGUGCAGGAGACACUGCUAAUCUUGAGACCGGGAGGAGUCAGAGGUAUUCAUGGGGUAGCGGUAAAAUGCGAUAAUCCCAUGAAGACCACCUGUGGCGAAGGCGUCUGACUAGAACGGGUCUGACGGUGAGGGACGAAAGCUGGGGGAGCGAUCCGG
Molecule: ribosomal RNA, 254 nt
Filed under: uncultured archaeon
Lineage: Archaea
Description: partial 16S ribosomal RNA
Rfam family: Archaeal small subunit ribosomal RNA
Source: RNAcentral